CAGUAGCCACGGUAAUACGUAGGUGGCAAGCGUUAUCCGGAAUUAUUGGGCGUAAAGCGCGCGUAGGCGGUUUUUUAAGUCUGAUGUGAAAGCCCACGGCUCAACCGUGGAGGGUCAUUGGAAACUGGAAAACUUGAGUGCAGAAGAGGAAAGUGGAAUUCCAUGUGUAGCGGUGAAAUGCGCAGAGAUAUGGAGGAACACCAGUGGCGAAGGCGACUUUCUGGUCUGUAACUGACGCUGAUGUGCGAAAGCGUGGGGAUCAAACAGGAUUAGAUACCCCCGUAGUCCCUGUCUCUUAUAC
This 301-nucleotide ribosomal RNA is filed under the name uncultured bacterium. RNAcentral describes it as "partial 16S ribosomal RNA". It matches the Rfam family "Bacterial small subunit ribosomal RNA", at positions 509 to 807 of the family's 1533-position model. The record is from RNAcentral.